This 252-nucleotide ribosomal RNA is filed under the name uncultured bacterium. RNAcentral's name for it is "partial 16S ribosomal RNA". It matches the Rfam family "Bacterial small subunit ribosomal RNA", at positions 525 to 776 of the family's 1533-position model. The record is from RNAcentral.
ACGGAGGAUCCAAGCGUUAUCCGGAUUCAUUGGGUUUAAAGGGUGCGUAGGCGGACUGAUAAGUCAGCGGUGAAAUCUCUCGGCUCAACCGAGAAACUGCCGUUGAUACUGUUAGUCUUGAAUGCAGAUGAUGUGGGCGGAAUAUGACAUGUAGUGGUGAAAUACUUAGAUAUGUCAUAGAACACCGAUUGCGAAGGCAGCUCACAAAACUGUGAUUGACGCUGAUGCACGAAAGCGUGGGGAUCAAACAGG